AACUUUCAGCAACGGAUCUCUUGGCUCUCGCAUCGAUGAAGAACGCAGCGAAAUGCGAUAAGUAAUGUGAAUUGCAGAAUUCAGUGAAUCAUCGAAUCUUUGAACGCACCUUGCGCUCCUUGGUAUUCCGAGGAGCAUGCCRGKUUGAGUGUCA
Molecule: ribosomal RNA, 154 nt
Filed under: Rhodonia placenta
Lineage: Eukaryota; Fungi; Basidiomycota; Agaricomycetes; Polyporales; Adustoporiaceae
Description: Postia placenta 5.8S ribosomal RNA
Rfam family: 5.8S ribosomal RNA
About the family: 5.8S ribosomal RNA (5.8S rRNA) is a component of the large subunit of the eukaryotic ribosome. It is transcribed by RNA polymerase I as part of the 45S precursor that also contains 18S and 28S rRNA. Functionally, it is thought that 5.8S rRNA may be involved in ribosome translocation.
Source: RNAcentral